This 408-nucleotide ribosomal RNA is filed under the name uncultured bacterium. Its description in RNAcentral is "partial 16S ribosomal RNA". It matches the Rfam family "Bacterial small subunit ribosomal RNA", at positions 28 to 526 of the family's 1533-position model. The record is from RNAcentral.
GACGAACGCUGGAGGCGUGCUUAACACAUGCACGUCGAACGAAGUGGCGAACGGGUGCGUACUACGUGGGUAACCUGCCCUCCUUUUUGGGAUAAGCCUUGGAAACGGGGUCUAAUACCGCCUAACGGGGGUUGGGCUCGGGGCCUAUCAGCUUGUUGGUGGGGGGAGGGCCUACCAGGGCGGUGCCGGGUAGCCGGCCUGGGAGGGGGACCGGCCACAUGGGGACUGAGAUACGGCCCAGACUCCUACGGGAGGCAGCAGUGGGGGAUAUUGCACAAUGGGCGAAAGCCUGAUGCAGCGACGCCGCGUGGGGGAUGAAGGCUUUCGGGUUGUAAACCUCUGUCGCGAGCGAACGGGUAGGUGGAGAAGAAGCGCCGGCUAACUACGUGCCAGCAGCUGCGGUAAUAC